This 240-nucleotide ribosomal RNA is filed under the name uncultured bacterium. RNAcentral describes it as "partial 16S ribosomal RNA". It matches the Rfam family "Bacterial small subunit ribosomal RNA", at positions 96 to 334 of the family's 1533-position model. The record is from RNAcentral.
UGGCGAACGGGUGAGUAACGCGUGAGGAACCUGCCUCAAAGAGGGGGACAACAGUUGGAAACGACUGCUAAUACCGCAUAAGCCCACGGGUCGGCAUCGACCUGAGGGAAAAGGAGCAAUCCGCUUUGAGAUGGCCUCGCGUCCGAUUAGCUAGUUGGUGAGGUAAUGGCCCACCAAGGCGACGACCGGUAGCCGGACUGAGAGGUUGAACGGCCACAUUGGGACUGAGACACGGCCCAG